UACGUAGGGGGCGAGCGUUGUCCGGAUUUAUUGGGCGUAAAGAGCGUGUAGGCGGCUUGGUAGGUCUGCUGUGAAAACUCGGGGCUCAACCCCGAGCGUGCACCCGAUACUGCCGGGCUUGAGGCAGGUAGGGGAGAUCGGAAUUCCUGGUGUAGCGGUGAAAUGCGCAGAUAUCAGGAGGAACACCGGUGGCGAAGGCGGAUCUCUGGGCCUGUCCUGACGCUGAGGCGCGAAAGCUAGGGGAGCGAACAGG
This 253-nucleotide ribosomal RNA is filed under the name uncultured bacterium. RNAcentral's name for it is "partial 16S ribosomal RNA". It matches the Rfam family "Bacterial small subunit ribosomal RNA", at positions 524 to 776 of the family's 1533-position model. The record is from RNAcentral.